This 793-nucleotide ribosomal RNA is filed under the name Bacillus sp. W2. RNAcentral describes it as "bacterial SSU rRNA". It matches the Rfam family "Bacterial small subunit ribosomal RNA", at positions 69 to 845 of the family's 1533-position model. Lineage: Bacteria; Bacillati; Bacillota; Bacilli; Caryophanales; Bacillaceae. The record is from RNAcentral.
CAGAUGGGAGCUUGCUCCCUGAUGUUAGCGGCGGACGGGUGAGUAACACGUGGGUAACCUGCCUGUAAGACUGGGAUAACUCCGGGAAACCGGGGCUAAUACCGGAUGGUUGUUUGAACCGCAUGGUUCAGACAUAAAAGGUGGCUUCGGCUACCACUUACAGAUGGACCCGCGGCGCAUUAGCUAGUUGGUGAGGUAACGGCUCACCAAGGCGACGAUGCGUAGCCGACCUGAGAGGGUGAUCGGCCACACUGGGACUGAGACACGGCCCAGACUCCUACGGGAGGCAGCAGUAGGGAAUCUUCCGCAAUGGACGAAAGUCUGACGGAGCAACGCCGCGUGAGUGAUGAAGGUUUUCGGAUCGUAAAGCUCUGUUGUUAGGGAAGAACAAGUGCCGUUCAAAUAGGGCGGCACCUUGACGGUACCUAACCAGAAAGCCACGGCUAACUACGUGCCAGCAGCCGCGGUAAUACGUAGGUGGCAAGCGUUGUCCGGAAUUAUUGGGCGUAAAGGGCUCGCAGGCGGUUUCUUAAGUCUGAUGUGAAAGCCCCCGGCUCAACCGGGGAGGGUCAUUGGAAACUGGGGAACUUGAGUGCAGAAGAGGAGAGUGGAAUUCCACGUGUAGCGGUGAAAUGCGUAGAGAUGUGGAGGAACACCAGUGGCGAAGGCGACUCUCUGGUCUGUAACUGACGCUGAGGAGCGAAAGCGUGGGGAGCGAACAGGAUUAGAUACCCUGGUAGUCCACGCCGUAAACGAUGAGUGCUAAGUGUUAGGGGGUUUCCGCCCCUUAGUG